CCUACGGGAGGCAGCAGUGGGGGAUAUUGCACAAUGGGGGAAACCCUGAUGCAGCGACGCCGCGUGGGUGAAGAAGCGCCUCGGCGCGUAAAGCCCUGUCAGCAGGGAAGAAAAUGACGGUACCUGAAGAAGAAGCCCCGGCUAACUACGUGCCAGCAGCCGCGGUAAUACGUAGGGGGCAAGCGUUAUCCGGAUUUACUGGGUGUAAAGGGGGCGCAGACGGGGAUGCAAGCCAGGAGUGAAAGCCCGGGGCCCAACCCCGGGACUGCUCUUGGAACUGGGAGGCUAGAGUGCAGGAGGGGCAGGCGGAAUUCCUGGUGUAGCGGUGAAAUGCGUAGAUAUCAGGAGGAACACCGGUGGCGAAGGCGGCCUGCUGGACUGCAACUGACGUUGAGGCCCGAAAGCGUGGGGAGCAAACAGGAUUAGAUACCCGGGUAGUC
RNAcentral lists this ribosomal RNA (440 nucleotides) under uncultured bacterium. RNAcentral's name for it is "partial 16S ribosomal RNA". It matches the Rfam family "Bacterial small subunit ribosomal RNA", at positions 338 to 795 of the family's 1533-position model. The record is from RNAcentral.